CCUGGCCUUGACAUACUAAGAACUUUCCAGAGAUGGAUUGGUGCCUUCGGGAACUUAGAUACAGGUGCUGCAUGGCUGUCGUCAGCUCGUGUCGUGAGAUGUUGGUUAAGUCCGCAACGAGCGCAACCCUUUUCCUUAUUUGCCAGCGGGUAAUGCCGGGAACUUUAAGGAUACUGCCAGUGACAAACUGGAGGAAGGCGGGGACGACGUCAAGUCAUCAUGGCCCUUACGGCCAGGGCUACACACGUGCUACAAUGGUCGGUACAAAGGGUUGCUACCUCGCGAGAGGAUGCUAAUCUCAAAAAGCCGAUCGUAGUCCGGAUCGCAGUCUGCAACUCGACUGCGUGAAGUCGGAAUCGCUAGUAAUCGCGGAUCAGAAUGCCGCGGUGAAUACGUUCCCGGGCCUUGUACACACCGCCCGUCACACCAUGGGAGUUUGUUGCACCAGAAGUAGGUAGUCUAACCGCAAGGAGGACGCUUACCACGGUGUGGCCGAUGACUGGGGUGAAGUCGUAACAAGGUAGGCGUAGAUGA
This 534-nucleotide ribosomal RNA is filed under the name uncultured bacterium. Its description in RNAcentral is "bacterial SSU rRNA". It matches the Rfam family "Bacterial small subunit ribosomal RNA", at positions 974 to 1509 of the family's 1533-position model. The record is from RNAcentral.